AUGAACGCUGGCGGCGUGCCUAAUCCCUGCAAGUCGAGCGAACGGACGAGAAGCUUGCUUCUCUGAUGUUAGCGGCGGACGGGUGAGUAACACGUGGAUAACCUACCUAUAAGACUGGGAUAACUUCGGGAAACCGGAGCUAAUACCGGAUGAUAUUUUGAACCGCAUGGUUCAAAAGUGAAAGACGGUCUUGCUGUCACUUAUAGAUGGAUCCGCGCUGCAUUAGCUAGUUGGUAAGGUAACGGCUUACCAAGGCAACGAUGCAUAGCCGACCUGAGAGGGUGAUCGGCCACACUGGAACUGAGACACGAUCCAGACUCCUACGGGAGGCAGCAGUAGGGAAUCUUCCGCAAUGGGCGAAAGCCUGACGGAGCAACGCCGCGUGAGUGAUGAAGGUCUUCGGAUCGUAAAACUCUGUUAUUAGGGAAGAACAUAUGUGUAAGUAACUGUGCACAUCUUGACGGUACCUAAUCAGAAAGCCACGGCUAACUACGUG
This 496-nucleotide ribosomal RNA is filed under the name uncultured bacterium. RNAcentral's name for it is "partial 16S ribosomal RNA". It matches the Rfam family "Bacterial small subunit ribosomal RNA", at positions 29 to 507 of the family's 1533-position model. The record is from RNAcentral.